This 460-nucleotide ribosomal RNA is filed under the name uncultured bacterium. Its description in RNAcentral is "partial 16S ribosomal RNA". It matches the Rfam family "Bacterial small subunit ribosomal RNA", at positions 338 to 795 of the family's 1533-position model. The record is from RNAcentral.
CCUACGGGAGGCAGCAGUGAGGAAUAUUGGUCAAUGGACGAGAGUCUGAACCAGCCAAGUAGCGUGAAGGAUGACUGCCCUAUGGGUUGUAAACUUCUUUUAUAAAGGAAUAAAACGAGGCACGUGUGCCUUUUUGCAUGUACUUUAUGAAUAAGGAUCGGCUAACUCCGUGCCAGCAGCCGCGGGAAUACGGAGGAUCCGAGCGUUAUCCGGAUUUAUUGGGUUUAAAGGGAGCGUAGAUGGGUUGUUAAGUCAGUUGUGAAAGUUUGCGGCUCAACCGUAAAAUUGCAAUUGAUACUGGCAGUCUUGAGUACAGUUGAGGUAGGCGGAAUGCGUGGUGUAGCGGUGAAAUGCUUAGAUAUCACGAAGAACCCCGAUUGCGAAGGCAGCUUACUAAACUGUGACUGACAUUGAUGCACGAAAGCGUGGGUAUCGAACAGGAUUAGAUACCCCUGUAGUC